UAUUGGGCAAUGGGCGAAAGCCUGACCCAGCAACGCCGCGUGAAGGAAGAAGGCCUUCGGUUUGUAAACUUCUUUUAAGAGGGAAGAGCAGAAGACGGUACCUCUUGAAUAAGCCACGGCUAACUACGUGCCAGCAGCCGCGGUAAUACGUAGGUGGCAAGCGUUGUCCGGAUUUACUGGGUGUAAAGGGCGUGCAGCCGGGCUGACAAGUCAGAUGUGAAAUCCCGCGGCUUAACCGCGGAACUGCAUUUGAAACUGUUGGUCUUGAGUAUCGGAGAGGCAGGCGGAAUUCCUAGUGUAGCGGUGAUAUGCGUAGAUAUUAGGAGGAACACCAGUGGCGAAGGCGGCCUGCUGGACGACAACUGACGGUGAGGCGCGAAGGCGUGGGGAGCAAACAGG
RNAcentral lists this ribosomal RNA (399 nucleotides) under uncultured bacterium. RNAcentral describes it as "bacterial SSU rRNA". It matches the Rfam family "Bacterial small subunit ribosomal RNA", at positions 362 to 776 of the family's 1533-position model. The record is from RNAcentral.